GAGGCCGUGGCCAGCAAGGUCUGCCCAGUGGUGGGUACAGCACGUGACUUCCACUGAGAUCACAAUCAGAAAGCUAUUCCUCACUGAGAGAGAAGAAUCCACUCCAUUCCAGCAACACAGGACAUCACAGGACAUACGCACUGCUCAGGAAAUCAUCUGACCUGGCCCUGCAGAGCACGGGACCCAGGAAGAUUGUGUUAGAGGACCAGAGCCCGUGUGGAGCACAGGGAGGGAAACAAAGCUUGUCAGUGUCACCAACAAAAACUCAACUUCUGACAUUAAUCCUGAGUAGUUACCCAUGCCCAGACCGAUGCAGAGAUCCGACCCAACAAAACAACGUCGCAGCGUGAGCAGCCGAGAAGUGACGACACCACGGGGCGGAGGGGAACGGAGAGGAAAGCUGCUGACGCCAGGGAGAGAUGCCGCUGGGCCAGGCACGGCUGCCCGCAGGAGAGGCCUCCGCAGGGAGAGGAAACUAAUGAAGACAACGGGGAGAUGGAGGAAGGAACCAGAGAUGUUCAAAGACUAGAUCGUGGGUCAGAUGGUAAUGACUCUAACCUAAGGCAGGGAUGAUGGCAGAAAGAUGCCUUCACAGGACAAACUGAGCCUAGCGCUCAACACCCCCACCUGGGGAAAGUGACACCUGCAUGGGAACUUAUCCAUGGGUACCACCAGACCCAAAGGACCUCUAUCUUCAAGUAAACCCUACGCUCCCCAAGCAGACAGUGUCAUUUCGGUGAAUGUCCUAACAGCAAAACAAAUUUCUUCUCCGGGGAAUGGUCUUCACAAAUUAUUGCCCAGAGAGUGAAUAAUUCUUCUCUAGUCAGUGGCUAACAGGGAAAUUAUCUAUGUGCCUCUGGACUUGUUCUUGUAUCACAGUGAAUAAACUGGUCCAACCC
This is a long non-coding RNA of Homo sapiens (human), 899 nucleotides long. RefSeq lists it as uncharacterized. The record is from RefSeq and is marked validated. Lineage: Eukaryota; Metazoa; Chordata; Mammalia; Primates; Hominidae. The transcript is spliced from 2 exons.